UGAUGUUCCUUACUGGGUCAUCUGAGC
Molecule: non-coding RNA, 27 nt
Filed under: Rattus norvegicus (Norway rat)
Lineage: Eukaryota; Metazoa; Chordata; Mammalia; Rodentia; Muridae
Source: RNAcentral